Molecule: ribosomal RNA, 536 nt
Filed under: Micromonospora sp. SAUK6032
Lineage: Bacteria; Bacillati; Actinomycetota; Actinomycetes; Micromonosporales; Micromonosporaceae
Description: bacterial SSU rRNA
Rfam family: Bacterial small subunit ribosomal RNA
Source: RNAcentral
GCCCUAGGCUUUGGGAUAACCCCGGGAAACCGGGGCUAAUACCGAAUAGGACCUUCGGUCGCAUGACUGUUGGUGGAAAGUUUUUCGGCCUGGGAUGGGCUCGCGGCCUAUCAGCUUGUUGGUGGGGUGAUGGCCUACCAAGGCGACGACGGGUAGCCGGCCUGAGAGGGCGACCGGCCACACUGGGACUGAGACACGGCCCAGACUCCUACGGGAGGCAGCAGUGGGGAAUAUUGCACAAUGGGCGGAAGCCUGAUGCAGCGACGCCGCGUGAGGGAUGACGGCCUUCGGGUUGUAAACCUCUUUCAGCAGGGACGAAGCGUAAGUGACGGUACCUGCAGAAGAAGCGCCGGCCAACUACGUGCCAGCAGCCGCGGUAAGACGUAGGGCGCGAGCGUUGUCCGGAUUUAUUGGGCGUAAAGAGCUCGUAGGCGGCUUGUCGCGUCGACUGUGAAAACCCGCAGCUCAACUGCGGGCCUGCAGUCGAUACGGGCAGGCUAGAGUUCGGUAGGGGAGACUGGAAUUCCUGGUGUAGC